Molecule: ribosomal RNA, 270 nt
Filed under: uncultured bacterium
Lineage: Bacteria
Description: partial 16S ribosomal RNA
Rfam family: Bacterial small subunit ribosomal RNA
Source: RNAcentral
AAGAUGGCGACCGGCGCACGGGUGAGUAACACGUAUCCAACCUGCCGAUAACUCUGGAAUAGCCUUUCGAAAGAAAGAUUAAUACCGGAUAGUAUACGAAUAUCGCAUGAUAUUUUUAUUAAAGAAUUUCGGUUAUCGAUGGGGAUGCGUUCCAUUAGGUUGUUGGCGGGGUAACGGCCCACCAAGCCUUCGAUGGAUAGGGGUUCUGAGAGGAAGGUCCCCCCACAUUGGAACUGAGACACGGUCCAAACUCCUACGGGAGGCAGCAUG